Molecule: ribosomal RNA, 454 nt
Filed under: uncultured Prevotellaceae bacterium
Lineage: Bacteria; Pseudomonadati; Bacteroidota; Bacteroidia; Bacteroidales; Prevotellaceae
Description: bacterial SSU rRNA
Rfam family: Bacterial small subunit ribosomal RNA
Source: RNAcentral
ACGGGAGGCAGCAGUGAGGAAUAUUGGUCAAUGGGCGGAAGCCUGAACCAGCCAAGUCGCGUGAAGGAUGAAGGUAUUAUGUAUUGUAAACUUCUUUAGACGUAGAGAAAUAAGGGCCUCGUGAGGCUUGAUGCUAGUAUACGUAGAAUAAGGACCGGCUAAUUCCGUGCCAGCAGCCGCGGUAAUACGGAAGGUCCGGGCGUUAUCCGGAUUUAUUGGGUUUAAAGGGAGCGUAGGCGGGAAGUCAAGUCAGCUGUGAAAUGUAGACGCUCAACGUCUGCACUGCAGCUGAAACUGGUUUUCUUGAGUGCGUAAGAGGCAGGCGGAAUUCGUCGUGUAGCGGUGAAAUGCUUAGAUAUGACGAAGAACUCCUAUUGCGAAGGCAGCUUGCUGGGCCGCAACUGACGCUGAAGCUCGAAGGUGCGGGUAUCGAACAGGAUUAGAUACCCUGGUA